This 1002-nucleotide ribosomal RNA is filed under the name uncultured bacterium. RNAcentral describes it as "bacterial SSU rRNA". It matches the Rfam family "Bacterial small subunit ribosomal RNA", at positions 356 to 1376 of the family's 1533-position model. The record is from RNAcentral.
GGGGGAUAUUGCACAAUGGGGGAAACCCUGAUGCAGCGAUGCCGCGUGGAGGAAGAAGGUUUUCGGAUUGUAAACUCCUGUCGUAAGGGAAGAGGAAGGACUGUACCUUACAAGAAAGCUCCGGCUAACUACGUGCCAGCAGCCGCGGUAAUACGUAGGGAGCGAGCGUUGUCCGGAAUGACUGGGUGUAAAGGGAGCGCAGGCGGGACUGCAAGUUGGAUGUGAAAUACCGUGGCUUAACCACGGAACUGCAUCCAAAACUGUAGUUCUUGAGUGAAGUAGAGGCAAGCGGAAUUCCGAGUGUAGCGGUGAAAUGCGUAGAUAUUCGGAGGAACACCAGUGGCGAAGGCGGCUUGCUGGGCUUUAACUGACGCUGAGGCUCGAAAGUGUGGGGAGCAAACAGGAUUAGAUACCCUGGUAGUCCACACUGUAAACGAUGAUAGCUAGGUGUGGGGGGUCUGACCCCUUCCGUGCCGGAGUUAACGCAAUAAGCUAUCCACCUGGGGAGUACGACCGCAAGGUUGAAACUCAAAGGAAUUGACGGGGACCCGCACAAGCGGUGGAGCAUGUGGUUUAAUUCGAAGCAACGCGAAGAACCUUACCUGAUCUUGACAUCCCGAUGACCGCUUCGUAAUGGAAGCUUUUCUUCGGAACAUCGGUGACAGGUGGUGCAUGGUUGUCGUCAGCUCGUGUCGUGAGAUGUUGGGUUAAGUCCCGCAACGAGCGCAACCCUUAUCUUCAGUAGCCAGCAGUAAGAUGGGCACUCUGGAGAGACUGCCGGGGAUAACCCGGAGGAAGGCGGGGAUGACGUCAAAUCAUCAUGCCCCUUAUGACCAGGGCUACACACGUGCUACAAUGGCGUAAACAAAGGGAAGCGAAACCGUGAGGUCAGGCAAAUCCCAGAAAUAACGUCUCAGUUCGGAUUGUAGUCUGCAACUCGACUACAUGAAGCUGGAAUCGCUAGUAAUCGCGAAUCAGAAUGUCGCGGUGAAUACGUUCCCG